RNAcentral lists this ribosomal RNA (433 nucleotides) under uncultured bacterium. RNAcentral describes it as "partial 16S ribosomal RNA". It matches the Rfam family "Bacterial small subunit ribosomal RNA", at positions 29 to 507 of the family's 1533-position model. The record is from RNAcentral.
AACGAACGCUGGCGGCAUGCCUAACACAUGCAAGUCGAACGAGACCUUCGGGCCUAGGGGCGCACGGCUGCUUACCACGUGGGAACUUGCCCUUGGGUUAGCUAUCCCUCACCGAAGGGUAUCCUCAUACAGCUUAGUGUAUUCCGACCAAGGAUUUAUCGCCUUGGGAUGGGGGCUCGUUGGUUUCGGGGGUUGGUAGGGUAAUAGCCUACCAAUGCGACGAUGCAUAGCUGGUCGGAGAGCAUGACCAGCCACACUGGGACUGAGACACGGCCCAGACUCGUACGCGAGGGAGCAGUGGAGAAUAUUAGAGAAUGGGGGAAGACCUGAUCCAGCAAUGCCGGGGGAGAGAGGAAGGCCGUAGUGUUGUAAAGCUCUUUUUCCCGGGACGAGAAUGACAGUACCGGGUGAAGAAGCUCCGGCUAACUCCGUG